AACAGAAACACAUAAAUCUAGCACACUAGCUAGUUGAAUGAUACAGAUCAUGAUCUAGCAUACUUAUUCAAAGCUCCUCAUGCUCAAACAAAUUCAGGGACUGGUGGGGGUUGGUUGGGUAUUCCCAGCACCAUUGCCUGGGAUUGGAACCUCAUAACCCGGGUUUGGGACGAAUGUAUCGUCGCCACCGGGAACAUAGUCAUGACCAGUACUUGGCGUUUGUCCACUUCCACUUCCACCGGUGCUGCCAGUCCUGCCGUUGUUGGGGAAUGGAGUCUGAGGUACAACAUUAUGCCGUGGUGGGAUUAACACACGCCCAAGGCCUGGAAUGAGAUAGCUGCCAUCAUGGCCAAUAAACCACUCAGGUUGUUUCUUGUCAUCUUUGGUUGGGACACUUCGUC
RNAcentral lists this long non-coding RNA (401 nucleotides) under Prunus persica (peach). RNAcentral's name for it is "long non-coding RNA (PPER_LNC003847)". Lineage: Eukaryota; Viridiplantae; Streptophyta; Magnoliopsida; Rosales; Rosaceae. The record is from RNAcentral.